This 902-nucleotide long non-coding RNA is filed under the name Zonotrichia albicollis (white-throated sparrow). RNAcentral describes it as "lncRNA (ENSZALG00000000654.1)". The record is from RNAcentral. Lineage: Eukaryota; Metazoa; Chordata; Aves; Passeriformes; Passerellidae.
GGACUUUUUGGUGGAAUUGGGGGUUUUUUUAUGGAUUUGGGAUUUUUUUGCCAGAUUUACCAUUAUUUUUUGGUGGGAUUUGGGAUUUUGGGGGGGAUUUGGGAUUUUUUGCAGGAUUUGGGAUUUUUUUUUUUUUGUGGCAUUUUUGGGGUUUUUUUGUUGCUAUUUGGGUUUUUCAAUCCCUGUGGAUUCGGGGGAUUUUUGGGAAUGUUGGGAACGUUUGGAUCCCGUGGUUCCCCCCUGGGUGAUCCCAAGGUUCCUCACUGGGGUUUGUGGGAUCCCUGCCUCAGUUUCCCUUUGGAACGCCGGGGCCUCCGUCCCCAUUUCAGGGCCCGUUCCCGUUAUCCCAACCCCAUUCCAGUUUAUCCCAACCCCAUUCCAGUUUAUCCCGGCCCCAUUCCCAAUCCCAUUCCCAGUUCCCAUUCCCAGUUCCCAUUCCCAGUUCCCAUUCCCAGUUCCCAAUCCCAGUUCCCAUUCCAGUUUAUCCCAAACCCAUUCCCAAUGAUCCCAGCCCCAAUUCCCAGUUCCCAAUCCCAUUCCCGAUUAUCCCAACCCCAUUCCCAGUUCCCAAUCCCAUUCCAGUUCCCAUUCCAGUUUAUCCCAAUCCCAUUCCCAAUUAUCCCAGCCCCAAUUCCUGGUUCCCAAUCCCAUUCCCAGUUCCCAAUCCCAUUCCCAGUAUCCCAGCCCCACUCCUGGUUCCCAUUCCCAGUUCCCAUUCCCAGUUCCCAUUCCCAGUUCCCAAAUCCAUUCCAGUUUAUCCCAAUCCCACUCCCAGUUCCAAAUCCCAUUCCCAGUAUCCCAGUCCCAUUCCCGGCCCCAUUCCCAAUUAUCCCAAUCCCAUUCCAGUUUAUCCCAACCCCAUUCCCAAUUAUUCCAACCCCAUUCCCAACUGUCCCAAUCUC